This 312-nucleotide ribosomal RNA is filed under the name Ochrobactrum sp. DASA 35030. Its description in RNAcentral is "bacterial SSU rRNA". It matches the Rfam family "Bacterial small subunit ribosomal RNA", at positions 21 to 362 of the family's 1533-position model. Lineage: Bacteria; Pseudomonadati; Pseudomonadota; Alphaproteobacteria; Hyphomicrobiales; Brucellaceae. The record is from RNAcentral.
GGCUCAGAACGAACGCUGGCGGCAGGCUUAACACACGCAAGUCGAGCGCCCCGCAAGGGGAGCGGCAGACGGGUGAGUAACGCGUGGGAACGUACCAUUUGCUACGGAAUAACUCAGGGAAACUUGUGCUAAUACCGUAUGUGCCCGAAAGGGGAAAGAUUUAUCGGCAAAUGAUCGGCCCGCGUUGGAUUAGCUAGUUGGUUGGGGUAAAGGCCUACCAAGGCGACGAUCCAUAGCUGGUCUGAGAGGAUGAUCAGCCACACUGGGACUGAGACACGGNCCAGACUCCUACGGGAGGCAGCAGUGGGAAAA